CAAAUUAAAAAUAAAGGGGAAAAACCCCUAUAAUCGUUUGGCAAGGGAGCUUUCUUCUGAAGUUUGUAGUGCUAGUCAUUGUGCUGCAGUAGUAGGGAUUGUGCCAGGUUUAGUGCAAUUGUGCUGCUAAGUGGCUAAAUUACCGACUUGGCUUGCUACAGGUGUGUGGCUGCCUUAAAGGGAGUUCAGCUGCACUUGAGAAUAAAUUAAUAAAUAGAAAUAUUGGUAGCAGCUGGGUUUGCUGCUUUAGAAUCCUGCCACACAUCUUCCUGGGAGAGAAGAUACUGCUGCCUUCAUUAUUUUUCUCUUGUCCUUGACGCAAAACUGUCUGAGCAUUGAACCAAAUGCUUAGUAGGCUGUCCAGCAAACCAGAAUACUGUUGAUUUACCCAGCUUUUCACCUCUGUGCCAGAAAUAUUUACAUGUAGUCUUCACACUGUUGAUUCUUCCUGGUUCUCCUCCCUUCUGGACAAUCCUCUGGAAACAGCAGAUGCAUUUCCCGGUUGGCCUCAGCUGGACACAUGGAUUGAUUUGGAACCUGCAUUGAUUAGGUAAUUCGCACACAGAGAAGAACAACAGAAGCCAAACUGGGAAGGUGGCAGCCUACGAAAUGUUACAUCAGCACAAGCAAGUUUCCUAUGUGUACGGCAGCCUUGCAUUGAAUUGGAUGAAGAAAAGUGGAGUCUUGAUCACCCAAAUCCAUGCCUUUAACUUAAGCACAAUUCCAACACCCACGAAACAGAGCACUCUGUUUCACUGUGAGUUUGGUGCUGGAUCUCUUAAGCAUGACACAAACCAGUGGGAUAUGAUGGCAACACUGCAGCUGAACAUAGACUUAUUUUAACAGGAUUUAGUGAUUUAUUGCAUCAGGUGGAACAGCAUGGUACAAGGUAGCAUGCUAUGAUUAGAUUUAAGCAAUGUAACUCAAUGUGAUAGCUGAAAUGUCAAGAGGGGAAGACAUCCAUUUUUCUGGUCAGCCAAUACUAAUUCUGCUACCUGAUGUCCAGUGUAAUUUUUGCAAAGAAUGAGAACAGUGGGGGAAAGUUUACAAGGUGAGAUAUAUGUAGCUUUUCUGAACAAGCAACAUCAUGAACAGAAUGAUUUAUAAUAGAGGGAUAACAAUCUACGUUUAUAUCUAGCUGCUUUAGCUGUAACUAGCAGUUAGAUGGAAUCAUUCAAGAUCAAAUCAUCCUUAAUCCCAGUUCAGAACUUCUGUUCUUACAGCCCAUCCGUUGACAUGACAAAUUUGUCAAAUUUUGGAAGAUGGUUGCUCUGUAAUUUUACCAUACCCCAAAGUGGUGCUGUGUAAAUAAAUCAAUCUGAGAACUGA
This is a long non-coding RNA of Columba livia (rock pigeon), 1329 nucleotides long. RefSeq lists it as uncharacterized. Lineage: Eukaryota; Metazoa; Chordata; Aves; Columbiformes; Columbidae. The transcript has 4 exons. The record is from RefSeq and is a predicted model, not a curated record.